CGAAAGCCUGACGGAGCAAUACCGCGUGAGGGAGGAAGGCUUUUGGGUUGUAAACCUCUUUUUUCAAGGAAGAAGCAAGUGACGGUACUUGAAGAAUCAGCAUCGGCUAACUCCGUGCCAGCCGCCGCGGUAAUACGGAGGAUGCAAGCGUUAUCCGGAAUCAUUGGGCGUAAAGCGUCCGCAGGUGGCUGUUCAAGUCUGCUGUUAAAGACAGAAGCUCAACUUCUGAAAGGCGGUGGAAACUGGAGAACUAGAGUACGGUAGGGGUUGAGGGAAUUCCCAGUGUAGCGGUGAAAUGCGUAGAUAUUGGGAAGAACACCAGUGGCGAAGGCGCUCUACUGGACCUGUACUGACACUGAGGGACGAAAGCUAGGGUAGCG
RNAcentral lists this ribosomal RNA (380 nucleotides) under uncultured cyanobacterium. RNAcentral's name for it is "bacterial SSU rRNA". It matches the Rfam family "Bacterial small subunit ribosomal RNA", at positions 376 to 770 of the family's 1533-position model. Lineage: Bacteria; Bacillati; Cyanobacteriota. The record is from RNAcentral.